Long non-coding RNA from Pteropus alecto (black flying fox), 510 nucleotides. RefSeq lists it as uncharacterized. The transcript is spliced from 2 exons. Lineage: Eukaryota; Metazoa; Chordata; Mammalia; Chiroptera; Pteropodidae. The record is from RefSeq and is a predicted model, not a curated record.
CAUGGCAUUGAUGUUUUGAUGAGCCCAGACCUGCUGUUUUAUAGACUGUCCCACAGUUUUACAAAUUAUUAGAUUGUUUGAUUGUUUCCUUAUGGUUUGAUUCAGAUUACAAGAACACUGUAUAGCUGAUGUUGCCACCUUGCCACCCUCUUAUAACAUCACAUCAGAAGGGGCAUGAUAUCAGUUUGUCCUAUUUUUGGUGAUGAUUCUGUGAGACUGUAAGCUCCUUGAAGGAGCUAACUCAUUAAGGAAUUCUGUGAUGUCUAGUGCACAGCAGAUAUUUUUCAAAUGAAAUUGACCAUUUUAUAAGAAAAACAAGAUCAUAAGGUCUUCUGCCUCUACUUCUAAUGAUAAAUGAAACUACGCUGUAACUCAUCUCAAGAAGGCUCUGCGCUAUGGUGAAUACAGAGAAACUUCGGGAUGUAGUGUUUGUCCAAGAGUUAACAUUAAUGUGACUAUAAAUUUUGUCCUCAACCUUUUAAUGACUUUUCAAUAAAUACUGCAUGAAUA